UACAGUAGGCUACUGUAGUUUUCCAAUGCAUUAUGGGAAAUAUUACUCUGAAUACGGUAUUACCAAACAACUGCAAAACACAAUGACAAACGUAUAUUUAUAUCUUAAAUGCUUUAUUUUUUGUGAGAUAUUUGGUUUAAUGUCUGUUUUCACAUCAGAUGCUCGGUCUGUUCCUUUAACAUAAAUCACGUGCCUUUUCUGAGGCUUUAAUGAAAUCACCAGCCAAUUCAAUAGACAUACCAUCAGUUCUUAAUAUUGUUGCCUCUAGGUCACAAAUUGUAUUUUUAAGAUUAGUUUAGGCGAGAAUAUAUAUAUGUAUAAUCUUCAAAUAGCAGUCAAUUAGUUAAGAAAGCGCUAAUUUUCGUAUUUGAUUAAACAAAUGCGGAGAGUUCAGGCGCGAGUUGGUCACGUGAUGUGCUCCUCAGUUCUGUCAGUAGGGGGAGUGGGAGAACGCGUGUGUGUCGUCGCUCGUCGUAUCUGUUCUGCUAAUCUAGCGCGUAUUUCUUUAUUACCAUCUGCUGGGUGAAUAUUAAUACGUAUAUGCUAACUUUCAUUUUGUGACCACAAAAUGACAGAGAGCUAUUAUAAGAGAUCUUGUGUCGUCGUGUUUGUCUUCACUCACUUCAUCAUUAUCUGCAAACAACUUCUGCAACUACAUAAUGAUUGUCUGCGUGUGUGCAAAAGAAAGCACGUUCACUGUGUAAAACCCCGCCAGCGCUUUUUCAAAUUAACGGCCAAGGCAGUCUGAGCUUAUCGUGUUGUGUUGACGGAGACUUUGCUGAGUGUAUGUAAAUCUGGGCUACAGUCCACAACAAAUUUGCUACGGUAGUUUUACGCCUGCAUGCUCGUCCUCUCGUCUAUAUCGCGGGGACAUCAUCACUACAGCGGGAAUCGCAUUGAAGAGAUCCUGUGCUUGUUGCGUGGCGGUGUGUUUGUGUGCUCACUUGGAUUGAGACCAGCAGUGCUUUUUUUAAUAGUGGGUGAGUACUAACUUAUUAUUGUGUAGUUUCAUAAAAGCCUUACUCUUUUUCAGUCACUUAACUUUUGUUCAUCUGCUAAUAAUAGGACUAUGAUCCAUACACAAAGAUGUAUUGUGGAUUAAAUAUUCGCGAAUAUUUAUGUGAAAAUGUAUUAGUGUUCUGCUGACAUGAGAUCUGAAAAUGUGUUCUAGGACCUGAUAUGGAUUAAUCCAAUGAUCAACGUUUUUCUUUGUAUCCCUGUUUUGUAUGCUGCCAUUACAUGAUGGUCAUAUGUCCCGGAUGAUCGGGAGAAGUCACGUGGUUCAAUUAUUAUUAUUAUUAUUAUUAUUAUUAUUAUUAUUAUUAUUUACGUGGUUCAAUUAUCUGUUUAUAAACAUUUUUACCAUGCAUUUAGCAUCAGGCAAAGCUUAUCUUACUUAUAAUUAUGUUGUUAUUACAAUAUCAUGUGAUCAUCUGAGUUAGAACAAAAUCUAUUCAUUUUCAGGUAUUACUGUGCAAAUGCCCUGAAUCAUUCUGUUGAAAUGUUAUGUGUUUAAGAUUCUUUAAGACAUCAAGAUGUGGUUUGGGAAGGACCUUCAUCUAAAUCUGAAGACAGGACAUACUGGCUCAAAAAGGUGUUUCUGAUAUGGAGAAAAACCCUGCACUGCUCAUUUUAUUUCUUCAUCUUGAGAAUACAGCAAGUUUAACUUUUGUCUGGAAAAUGAUUCAGCAAAGCUAACACCAACAACAAUUUUUCAUGGCACUUCAAACCCCCUUGAUGUGAGGAGCCAGCAUCAGAAUGGAUGGUGUCAAUAUCCUGAAUGAAGAAGUGGAGGUAACAGAGGUGGAUCUCAAGACUUGGCCAUGUUCUAGAUAAUAACUGAAUUAUCACAAGUGCUGUCGCCCCUGCUGUAUAUGAUGCCCCCACCACCUACACCAGCUGUAGAAAAUGUCGGUCCUGGAGUGCCGUUGUCCUGCAGAGUUUUGCUCCAGCUCUAAACAAACACACCUGAACAACUAGAUCUAAAGAGUCACCUGAAAACUACAGGUAGGCAAGGUUUUAUUAGGGUUGGAAAUAAAAUCUGCAGGAUUUUGGCACUCCAGAACCGAUGUUGCCUACCCCUGACCUACACCUUCAUCCUGCCACCACCACUCAUACUACCUACAAAAAAAACUGUAUUGUAAUUAUGCUUUUCACUGUAUUGUAUGAUGUGGUUUUCUCAUUUAGGGUAACUACACUAUGGCAACCAUUUGAUACAUUGAUUGCUGACUGAUUUUGUUAAUUUUUAUUUAACCUUUUGUAUAAAAUCUAAUCAUUUUUUGGUUAUUUUUGUUAAUAUUGUUACAAAUAUACAGUUAAAACUGCACAAUAAAUUUUCUGCUUUUAAAGAUAUAGUU
Long non-coding RNA from Paramisgurnus dabryanus, 2357 nucleotides. RefSeq lists it as uncharacterized. The record is from RefSeq and is a predicted model, not a curated record. Lineage: Eukaryota; Metazoa; Chordata; Actinopteri; Cypriniformes; Cobitidae.